GUUCAAUACUUGCGAAUGCAUCCCACUCAGCUGCAGAAAGAAGGGAGAAGGGAGAAGAUUAUUCCCAAUAAGAAAAAGUAGCAAGACUAAAGCUUCAGAUCUGAGCUCACUAUAUGACAAUGUUACUGCUUUUCAAAAGACUUUAAGGGACCAGAAAGCCUACAUUCAGCUUUGGCUUCUAUGUGUAUUACUGGGUCUGCCAACACCUUCGUGGGACAUCAAAGACUUCUGCGCCGUCAGCUACUAGAAGUUCGCUUGACUGUCUGAGGGUUCAGG
Molecule: long non-coding RNA, 276 nt
Organism: Mustela erminea (ermine)
Lineage: Eukaryota; Metazoa; Chordata; Mammalia; Carnivora; Mustelidae
Exons: 3
Source: RefSeq, a predicted model, not a curated record